AUUUUGAAAAAAAAAAAAUCAAACAAUCAAUCAUUUCGGCUUUCUUCAAUUUCGGCUCUCACCCUCUCAAUCAAAUUUUUUUUUUUAAGCCAAUAACAACCGAAAAAGCAAAAAAAAAAAAAAAAAAAAAAAAAAAAAAAAAAAAACACCCAAUUUCCCAAUUUCGGCCUCUCUCUUCUCUUCCCUUCUCUUGUCUUCUCGUCUCUUCUCUCUGUGAAAACUGAAAACCCCAUCUCUUCCCCCCCUCCGGCCGGCCAUCUCUUCAAGCUUCUUCUCCCGGCCGACCAAACACACAGCAAACACACACACAAACACACACACUCGAGAGGGCCGAGACUCAUAACCAGGAAUUAAAAAAAAAAAACAAAUUUCUUUGCCUUGCUAGCAAAUUGACACUUUGACAGAUCGUUAAUGGCUCGCGUGAAGGGGAAUUGGCUAGCGUGAAGGGGAAAAAAUUAGCUGCCUCGCUGGAUAAACCGACUGCCUCGAUGGAGAAACCGACUGCCUCGCUGGGUGACUGGGUCACUGCUCUGCUGCUGGGAUGCUGGGAAAUUGGAUUGAUUUUUCAUUUUUUUCUGUAUUUUUCUGCUGCUGGGAUGCUGCAUCAAUUUCCCCUCAUUCCCCCCCCCCCCAACCGAAUGAUCCCCUCAUUCCCAAUCAUAGUUUUUUUUUAUUUUUUUCUGUAUUUUUCUGCUGCUGGGAAAUUGAAUUGAUUUUUUUUAUAUUUUUUUCUGUAUUUUUCUGCUGCUGGGAUGCUGGGAAAUUGGAUUGAUUUUUCAUUUUUUUCUGUAUUUUUCUGCUGCUGGGAUGCUGCAUCAAUUUCCCCUCAUUCCCCCCCCAACCGAAUGAUCCCCUCAUUCCCAAUCAUAGUUUUUUUUUAUUUUUUUCUGUAUUUUUCUGCUGCUGGGAAAUUGAAUUGAUUUUUUUUUAUUUUUUUCUGUAUUUUUCUGCUGCUGGGAUGCUGGGAAAUUGGAUUGAUUUUUCAUUUUUUUCUGUAUUUUUCUGCUGCUGGGAUGCUGCAUCAAUUUCCCCUCAUCCCCCCCCCCCCCCCCCCCAACCGAAUGAUCCCCUCAUUCCCAAUCAUAGUUUUUUUUAUUUUUUUCUGUAUUUUUCUGCUGCUGGGAUGCUGGGAAAUUGGAUUGAUUUUUCAUUUUUUUCUGUGAAUAUGAAUAGUAUAUAGUUGCAAAGGGGGUUGUACAAAGUGGGUCGAAAAGGUUGUGACAUAAUUAUUACAUAAGACAAAGGAGUAUCUCUGGUCCAUGCAGAAAUAUCUUCGAGCGAAGUUCUAGUUCGGGAUUGCUCAAAGUAUGGUACCUUUAUUAACAAAAACCUUGGCUCAAUGGAGAAAGUUCAUCAGUUCCCAAAUAAAGAAACCACUUUAAGAGAUGGAGACCUGGAACUGAUAAUGCAACCUACAAGGUAUUCACAUAUUUGAGAAUGCACAUCAUCAUGAAAAUUUUAUAAUACGAUCAAACCUAAUUGAUGCUGGAAGAUUCCAAAUGUAGUAACUUCUGUUGAAAGUGACGUGAUCUCUGGCAUUUUUUUCCUUCUUUUUAUUUAUUUCUAAUCUCCUUUUAGAGUUCUGGCAGUGGCUUGAUGGAACUUAAAAGAUUGAUGAGAGUUUUUGUGGGAUGGUAUUGGGGAGGGUUUUAAAGGGCAUUUGGUUUCCUGGGAAGCAGUAUGUAAAAAUAUUCCAAAGAGGGUUUAGGAGUGCCUUAACUCAAAUAUCUCUGGAGGCCCCCCCACCAGAGCAUGGAUCCUUGUGGUUCAAGUUAUUGAAAAAAGCAAGGAUGGUCUCUAAUCUAACGAUUGGAACUCAGUUAUGAUCACUAGAGUAAUGCUCGGAAAUCCAUGGAAGCUUAUAUCACAGGAUUUCAUGCUUCUAUCAAAAGUAAAAAAUAAAAAUCACAUGAUUAUACUAGACAUGCGCUGCAAAUUCUUCUACUAUUCAUGUUUAUUCCUUGUGAUGGAUAUCAUGUAGGUUUUAUUUUGUUCCACUAACUUUCUGGGACUGCUGCUUGAAGACCUUCCAAGUGAAUCAUCCCCUUCAAGACAAAAUUUCAUCAAUUGGUCAGUAAGGAGGACAUUUUGUGAAUGACGGUUCCCAUGCGUAGCUGCUCAACUGUUUUUAUUGUUGCAAAUGCUCUCCUGAUUUGGAUUUUAGUUUACUGUUGUUCUAUUUGUGUGUUUAUGUUGGCUUUAGUUUAUAUGGCUGGGUCAUUUUUCUUAAAAUUUUAACUUUAGGACACUGGUGACAACUUAAUGUCGUAUUAGAAUUCAAAGUUAUCUACUUGGUCUUC
Long non-coding RNA from Ziziphus jujuba (common jujube), 2300 nucleotides. RefSeq lists it as uncharacterized. The transcript has 4 exons. Lineage: Eukaryota; Viridiplantae; Streptophyta; Magnoliopsida; Rosales; Rhamnaceae. The record is from RefSeq and is a predicted model, not a curated record.